This 828-nucleotide transfer RNA is filed under the name uncultured Synechococcus sp. Its description in RNAcentral is "partial contains 16S ribosomal RNA, 16S-23S ribosomal RNA intergenic spacer, and 23S ribosomal RNA". The stretch from base 283 to 355 matches the Rfam family "tRNA". The record is from RNAcentral. Lineage: Bacteria; Bacillati; Cyanobacteriota; Cyanophyceae; Synechococcales; Synechococcaceae.
UGGAUCACCUCCUAACAGGGAGACAAACAACGAUUUUGAUGUCUGAGUUUUUUUAUUCUUAGGCCAAAAUCCUGUCACCUUAGGUCGAUCGGUACCUCAACUUUGAAGCUAAGAGUAUUCAGCAAUGGAUAUCUGCUUAGUGGAAAUUUUUAGUUCCUAAACUUUGUCUAGUUCACAACCCAUUAGGGAUGAGUCUCCUGGGCCAUUAGCUCAGGUGGUUAGAGCGCACCCCUGAUAAGGGUGAGGUCCCUGGUUCAAGUCCAGGAUGGCCCAUUCGGUGUAGGGGGUUUAGCUCAGUUGGUAGAGCGCCUGCUUUGCAAGCAGGAUGUCAGGAGUUCGAGUCUCCUAACCUCCACUGACUACCAAAAUCCCCAUCUCCAAAACCUGGAGUAUGAACUCGUAUGGAUUGUGUUUUAGAUGUGUCCGCUAGAUGACCCUAGCUUCUUGUUAUUUUAAGGCAUGGAAAAAAUUCCAUGAAAUUUAAUUGAUAGGAUGCUGGGCUCGAUUCAAUGUAUUGAGAGAUCAAUGCAUUGUUUUGAUGUCUGGUCGAACCUUGACAACUGCAUAGUAAGUCAGGAAAGAAUAAAGCAUCUUUAUGGAUGCAUCAUUCUUGAGUGUUAAUUCACGAUGGGGUGGUGUUAAUUCUAAAGCAAGAGCCGAGACUCCAGCAUGUUCUUUCAAAUGUGUCGAGCAUUUGAGAGUUUGAUUUUAAUUUCUAUUUUUAGAAGUUAGAAGAAUCUGUUUCAACGACAGCAAGCGUGUUGGAGAUACAUUGGUCAAGCUACAAAGGGCUCACGGCGGAUACCUUGGCACACAGAGGCGAUGAAG